RNAcentral lists this unclassified non-coding RNA (529 nucleotides) under Hevea brasiliensis (rubber tree). Lineage: Eukaryota; Viridiplantae; Streptophyta; Magnoliopsida; Malpighiales; Euphorbiaceae. The record is from RNAcentral.
AAACAAAUAACCCCAAAUUAUCGCGGAGUUUACGCGAUGUUUAAUUUAUCGGAUACGACAAGUUGCGAUAUAUUAACUCUCUCCAGAACAAAUUUCAAAAACAUUUCUCCCUGUUAUUCGAUCCCUCGCUAUUUUCUUCUUUGCUGAGAAUCUGACAAGAAAAUUGUAUAGAUAAUCGGCCGAAGGUACAAAACCCUACCCUUUCUUGUUCUUCCUCUUCUUCUUAAGGUAUUUCUCUCUGUUAAAUCUUCUUUCUUUAUGUAUUAGAUGCUUACGUGUGGCAGCCCUAUCUGUUUGGAGUUUGUGAUUUAGUGUAUUUCUUUGUAAGAACCAAAGCUACAGUUUUGUGUGGAUUUUCUGGUUCAAUUCUUUUUUAUUUAGUUUGGGGAGCUUGAUUUCUUGCAGAAUUGCUUCCAGGAAAAUGAAAACGGUUGAAAACCGACCAAAAGCCCUUUCUGCAAGUCCCUCUCUUAGUCAAGAGCCACCUAAGAAUCCUACAGGUAUCAAACUCUCUAAAGAUGCCUCCAAA